RNAcentral lists this ribosomal RNA (484 nucleotides) under uncultured bacterium. RNAcentral's name for it is "partial 16S ribosomal RNA". It matches the Rfam family "Bacterial small subunit ribosomal RNA", at positions 29 to 507 of the family's 1533-position model. The record is from RNAcentral.
AUUGAACGCUGGCGGCAUGCUUUACACAUGCAAGUCGAACGGCAGCGCGGGCUUCGGCCUGGCGGCGAGUGGCGAACGGGUGAGUAAUACAUCGGAACGUGCCCAGUAGUGGGGGAUAGCUCGGCGGAAGCCGGAUUAAUACCGCAUACGACCUGAGGGUGAAAGCGGGGGAUCUUCGGACCUCGCGCUAUUGUAGCGGCCGAUGGCAGAUUAGCUAGUUGGUGGGGUAAAGGCAUACCAAGGCGACGAUCUGUAGCUGGUAUGAGAGGACGACCAGCCACACUGGGACUGAGACACGGCCCAGACUCCUACGGGAAGACGCAGUGGGGACUUUUGGACGAUGGGGGAAAGCCUGAUCCAGCAAUGCCGCGUGUGUGAUGAAGGCCUUCGGGUUGUAAAGCACUUUUGGCGGGAACGAAAAGGACUGUGCCCAUACCACGGUUCGAUGACGGUACCCGAAGAAUAAGCACCGGCUAACUACGUG